CUGGGCGUAAAGCGUGCGCAGGCGGUUUUGUAAGACAGUGGUGAAAUCCCCGGGCUCAACCUGGGAACUGCCAUUGUGACUGCAAGGCUAGAGUGCGGCAGAGGGGGAUGGAAUUCCGCGUGUAGCAGUGAAAUGCGUAGAUAUGCGGAGGAACACCGAUGGCGAAGGCAAUCCCCUGGGCCUGCACUGACGCUCAUGCACGAAAGCGUGGGGAGCAAACAGGAUUAGAUACCCUGGUAGUCAAGGGCG
This 249-nucleotide ribosomal RNA is filed under the name uncultured Burkholderiales bacterium. RNAcentral describes it as "partial 16S ribosomal RNA". It matches the Rfam family "Bacterial small subunit ribosomal RNA", at positions 554 to 802 of the family's 1533-position model. Lineage: Bacteria; Pseudomonadati; Pseudomonadota; Betaproteobacteria; Burkholderiales. The record is from RNAcentral.